GACGAACGCUGGCGGCGUGCCUAAUACAUGCAAGUCGAACGAACUCUGGUAUUGAUUGGUGCUUGCAUCAUGAUUUACAUUUGAGUGAGUGGCGAACUGGUGAGUAACACGUGGGAAACCUGCCCAGAAGCGGGGGAUAACACCUGGAAACAGAUGCUAAUACCGCAUAACAACUUGGACCGCAUGGUCCGAGUUUGAAAGAUGGCUUCGGCUAUCACUUUUGGAUGGUCCCGCGGCGUAUUAGCUAGAUGGUGGGGUAACGGCUCACCAUGGCAAUGAUACGUAGCCGACCUGAGAGGGUAAUCGGCCACAUUGGGACUGAGACACGGCCCAAACUCCUACGGGAGGCAGCAGUAGGGAAUCUUCCACAAUGGACGAAAGUCUGAUGGAGCAACGCCGCGUGAGUGAAGAAGGGUUUCGGCUCGUAAAACUCUGUUGUUAAAGAAGAACAUAUCUGAGAGUAACUGUUCAGGUAUUGACGGUAUUUAACCAGAAAGCCACGGCUAACUACGUGCCAGCAGCCGCGGUAAUACGUAGGUGGCAAGCGUUGUCCGGAUUAUUGGGCGUAAAGCGAGCGCAGGCGGUUUUUAAGUCUGAUGUGAAAGCCUUCGGCUCAACCGAAGAAGUGCAUCGGAAACUGGGAAACUUGAGUGCAGAAGAGGACAGUGGAACUCCAUGUGUAGCGGUGAAAUGCGUAGAUAUAUGGAAGAACACCAGUGGCGAAGGCGGCUGUCUGGUCUGUAACUGACGCUGAGGCUCGAAAGUAUGGGUAGCAAACAGGAUUAGAUACCCUGGUAGUCCAUACCGUAAACGAUGAAUGCUAAGUGUUGGAGGGUUUCCGCCCUUCAGUGCUGCAGCUAACGCAUUAAGCAUUCCGCCUGGGGAGUACGGCCGCAAGGCUGAAACUCAAAGGAAUUGACGGGGGCCCGCACAAGCGGUGGAGCAUGUGGUUUAAUUCGAAGCUACGCGAAGAACCUUACCAGGUCUUGACAUACUAUGCAAAUCUAAGAGAUUAGACGUUCCCUUCGGGGACAUGGAUACAGGUGGUGCAUGGUUGUCGUCAGCUCGUGUCGUGAGAUGUUGGGUUAAGUCCCGCAACGAGCGCAACCCUUAUUAUCAGUUGCCAGCAUUAAGUUGGGCACUCUGGUGAGACUGCCGGUGACAAACCGGAGGAAGGUGGGGAUGACGUCAAAUCAUCAUGCCCCUUAUGACCUGGGCUACACACGUGCUACAAUGGAUGGUACAACGAGUUGCGAACUCGCGAGAGUAAGCUAAUCUCUUAAAGCCAUUCUCAGUUCGGAUUGUAGGCUGCAACUCGCCUACAUGAAGUCGGAAUCGCUAGUAAUCGCGGAUCAGCAUGCCGCGGUGAAUACGUUCCCGGGCCUUGUACACACCGCCCGUCACACCAUGAGAGUUUGUAACACCCAAAGUCGGUGGGGUAACCUUUUAGGAACCAGCCGCCUAAGGUGGGACAGAUGAUUAGGGUG
RNAcentral lists this ribosomal RNA (1487 nucleotides) under Lactiplantibacillus plantarum subsp. plantarum. Its description in RNAcentral is "bacterial SSU rRNA". It matches the Rfam family "Bacterial small subunit ribosomal RNA". The record is from RNAcentral. Lineage: Bacteria; Bacillati; Bacillota; Bacilli; Lactobacillales; Lactobacillaceae.